AUUCACCUCGCCCAUCUAUCCCUUCAAUCCUCUCACACUAUAGGAAAUCUCUUUGUUCCUUUGGAAAGUCCAGCGGCAUGCAGAUUCUAGAAUGAUUACCUGUCAGAGCAACAUUUGCAGAAAGCAGUUCUCUCAGAUGCAGGUUGCCCAGAGUUCUCCCUCCCACAGAAGGCCAGCAAAAUCUGCAUUUCAUUCAGGCUAACCUCUAAAAACACUGACACCUUCAUUAUUAUGAAUAUCAAAACCCAGUGGCAAAACCCAGAGCACAGAAAGAGAUGGGUGUAUCGCUGUUCUUCGAAUAAGACCUCUAGUUUUUCCUUUCCUAUAAGCCCCAGUUGCUAGUCUAAUUUAAAAACCCAGAAACAGGAAAGCCACUGCAAAUUUGGGGAAGUCUUUCUUAUCAGCUGGUAGACAUGCUUCAUCUGGUCGACUGUAAGUAGAGCAAAGCACUAGCACCACAUUGAACAAUAACCUAUAUUUCAUUAUCUCUAAACAACCAAAGCACUAAAUAGUCUUUAACAGUUACAUUAGAGUCUGGCAAAUACAUAGGAAUAUGUACUCUAGCAUAGAAAUUCACAACUUUUUUCCACGUAAACUCCAAAAACACCUACCAUGUUUUCCUAUGAUGACCCCAACCUCACUAUCCUUUGUGGCUGCCGAUUUCUAACUUUGAGCUGUUUUUUAAUAAGAAUAAAUGCACUGGAUGUUGUGAUCAGGGUCCUGUGUUUUCUACAAUUCUGUAGUUAAAGAAUCUGCCCCUUGCUAUAGAAGAGUGCUCCAGUAUAUAGGAUUUCAUCUUAAAACAAUGUUUCUAUCUCUUAUAGUCGCAAAGAAAACUUUCCACACGUCAAUUGCUUGUAAAUCAAUGCAGUUAUGCCUGCCAACAACCUGAAGUAGUAGAAACAUAGGACAUGGGACUGAAAAGGAUUAUCUGGGUCAUCAAGUUCAGUCCCCCAUUAGCACAGGCAACUGCAUUGUGUAAUCCCAUUCAUAAACUUAUCCUAAAAGCAGCUUGUUCAUCUAGGAGUAUGAUUAUUGCUUUGCAUAUGUAAAGGCCUGGGUUCAAAUCCCAGACAAAGUCUUGUAAAGGCCAUGAGUGGUCCUGUAUCUUUAAAGGGGAAAGAUGGGGCACUGACUUAGGCUGUAGGAGACCUGGAUUCUAUCCCCUUCUCUGCUAGUGACUUCCUGUAUGAAUUUGGGCAAGUCACUUAAUUUCUCUGGAACUUAGUUCUCUAUCUAUAAAAUGGAGAUAAUAAUACUACUACUGUCUUUAGAUUUUAAGAUCUUCAGCUCAGUAAUUGUCUUUGACUAUGUGCUUGUACAGCACAAUGGGGCCCUGACCUUAUUUUGGAAACUGUAGGUUCUACUGCAGUAGUAGGGUUAAUAAUAAUACUGUUGAUGAUGUCAGGUUAGUCCCCGAGGCUAUCCUGUAUUAUUAACUUCCGGGAGAUGGUUCAGUGGUGACAAACUUUAUAAUGCUGUGGAGCAUGGGCCAAAAAUUGUUUCCCCUGGUAUAGUUAGUGCUAUAAGAACAAUGAUAAAUUCCUGCAAAAAUUACAGAAAUUUCAAGGAGGAAUAGGGGGAGGAAAAAAGGCACUUAAACUGAAAAGCUUUGGGCUGUUUAAUGGAUUAAGCAUUGGCAUUUCUUUGCAGAGUUCCAGUUCAGAACCGUGACUGUAGAAAGGAAUAAUUGAAAAAAUAUUUUAAAGGUUAUGAGUUAAUAAAGUGUGAAAAUGUGUUGUGUGGCUGCCAUACUCUGCUCAGUUUUACAUUGACUUAUAUGUGAUAUUGCUCAUCUGGCUUGCAACUAAUUACAUAGGUGCUCACAAUGAAUUUUUUAUUCAUUUAUGUACAGUACAGGUUUUUAUUUAAUUAGGAAAUAAAACUUCACUGACACAAGAAUCUCGGUCACGAACAGAGUCCUAGCCAUCCUGUUGGGUUACAUUUCACUCCAGUCCAAUAAGGUAUCAUGUGCACAAAUACUUCUGAGCAAAGUGGUGAAAUUUUCAGGUAAGAAAAGAACAAAUUAAGUCAAUUUAAAAUGAGCCAGUCUCUCUUUAGGCAGCAGUAGUUAUGGAAAGAAUAUCACAAUGUAUGCUAAGUAGUGAUUUAGUGAUUGGGCCCAGACACAAGUGUAAUACUCUCUCUAAAAUUCAAAGGAUUUAUUGGAACAUUGCAAAUAACAACUCCAGCACACACAGGCAGGAAUUAACUUCUUCUAUUCACCACCUCCCUCCCCCUGAACCAAAACAACAACAUAAUAUCAAACAAAGACAACAGCUUACCACUGAAAUAAAGACACAGCACCAUCUAUUGGCAGAGGCACUGGCUACACUGAAGGAAGUUCUUCAGUAGAAGUAGAAAUCUGUGCUUCUGGAGUUGACGGAUCACAUUUUGAGUCCCAAUGCUAAUUUAAUUAGUAAUUGUGUCCCUUGUCUGCAUUUUUCAAUAUUAUUGUAAUAUGGCCUAGAUGAGCCAUCCUAGGAAAUUUGUGUCACAGGUUAAAGACCCUUGUGGGAGCUGUGCCAGGGCUGAGCCUGAGAGAAAGGAGCCCCAUAGUAACUCAUGUGAGAAGAAGACAGACUAAAUGGGAGGGGCCACUGACAGUUCAACAAGGAUUAUUGAACAAUCUGCUGCUCUUGCUACUUAAGAGAUGUUGUGUGUGGCUGCAGAGAUCAAAGCACAUCCUACUGUUACUGGCUGGAGUGGCUCAUGACUGAGCACCUGCCUCAUGCCAGACUGUCAAAAACAAGGCAGAUAUCCCCACCCUGGAGGUGUGUUCUAGAAGUAGAUUUCACCGAUACCAACAAAUGUGAACUCCUGGAUCACUAUAACAGUCUUACUAUGGAGUCACAGACAGUCCCCUUAGACUCUCCAGUCUACCUGGCUAACCAGAGCACCUGAACUUAGUGGUAAAUGGUCACUUUCACCAAAAAUCACAUGAUAUUCAGGUUGCAUCCCGUGGUAAGAGACUAGUCACAUACCCCACAUCAAUUGGUACCCUAGAUCUUACACCAAAGAUGGUAACUGCAGCCAAUCCUGUAAUAAACUAUCUAAAGGCUUAUUCCCUAGGAAAAAGAAAUAGAAUCAUUUACAGGUUAAAGCAACAAACAUAUACACACAGAUGAGUUACCAUCUGGCUCCUAAGAGUGACAGAGUUGUAGAGAUCUGUCACUUCAAGUGUCUUUCAGGGUGGACCCUGGAGGUAACCUCUGCGUGCAUCCGAUGAAGUGAGCUGUAGCUCAC
Dermochelys coriacea (leatherback sea turtle) is the source of this 3246-nucleotide long non-coding RNA. RefSeq lists it as uncharacterized. The record is from RefSeq and is a predicted model, not a curated record. The transcript is spliced from 3 exons. NCBI's taxonomy places the organism in Eukaryota, Metazoa, Chordata, Testudines, Dermochelyidae.